Molecule: ribosomal RNA, 433 nt
Filed under: uncultured bacterium
Lineage: Bacteria
Description: partial 16S ribosomal RNA
Rfam family: Bacterial small subunit ribosomal RNA
Source: RNAcentral
AACGAACGCUGGCGGCAGGCUUAACACAUGCAAGUCGAGCGCAUCCUUCGGGGUGAGCGGCAGACGGGGGAGUAACGCGUGGGAAUCUACCUUUUGCUACGGUAUAGCUCCGGGAAACAGGAAUUAAUACCGCAUGUGCUCUUAGGGGGUAAGAUGUAUCGGCAAGGGAUGAGCCCGCGUUGGAUUAGCCAGUUGGUGGGGUAAAGGCCUACCAAGGCGACGAUCCAUAGCUGGUCUGAGAGGAGGAUCAGCCACAUUGGAACUGAGACACGGCCCAAUCUCCUACGGGAGGCAGCAGUGGGGAAUAUUAGACGAGGGACGCAAGCCUGGUCCAGCCAUGCCGCGUGAGUGAUGAAGGCCUUAGGGUUGUAAAGCUCUUUCACCGGAGAAGAUAAUGACGGUAUCCGGAGAAGAAGCCCCGGCUAACUUCGUG